UACGUAGGGAGCAAGCGUUGUCCGGAAUCAUUGGGCGUAAAGCGCGUGUAGGCGGUUACAUAAGUCUGUUGUGAAAGUCGGAGGCUCAACCUUCGAAAGCCGAUGGAUACUGUGUGACUUGAGUACGGAAGAGGAGAAUGGAAUUCCUGGUGUAGCGGUGAAAUGCGCAGAUAUCAGGAAGAACACCCGUGGCGAAGGCGGUUCUCUGGGACGGUACUGACGCUGAGACGCGAAAGCGUGGGGAGCGAACAGG
This 253-nucleotide ribosomal RNA is filed under the name uncultured bacterium. RNAcentral describes it as "partial 16S ribosomal RNA". It matches the Rfam family "Bacterial small subunit ribosomal RNA", at positions 524 to 776 of the family's 1533-position model. The record is from RNAcentral.